Molecule: ribosomal RNA, 119 nt
Filed under: Helianthus annuus (common sunflower)
Lineage: Eukaryota; Viridiplantae; Streptophyta; Magnoliopsida; Asterales; Asteraceae
Source: RNAcentral
GGUUGCGAUUAUACCAGCACUAAUGCACCGGAUCCCAUCAGAACUACGCAGUUAAGCGUGCUUGGGCGAGAGUAGUACUAGGAUGGGUGACCCCCUGGGAAGUCCUCGUGUUGCAACCC